RNAcentral lists this ribosomal RNA (254 nucleotides) under uncultured bacterium. Its description in RNAcentral is "partial 16S ribosomal RNA". It matches the Rfam family "Bacterial small subunit ribosomal RNA", at positions 524 to 776 of the family's 1533-position model. The record is from RNAcentral.
GACGAACCGUGCGAACGUUAUUCGGAAUCACUGGGCUUAAAGCGCGUGUAGGCGGGUUGGCACGUCGGCCGCUGAAAACCCCCGGCUCAACCCGGGAAGUGGCGCCGAUACGACCGACCUGGAGGGGGGUAGGGGGAGCCGGAACUUCCGGUGGAGCGGUGAAAUGCGUUGAGAUCGGAAGGAACGCCCGUGGCGAAAGCGGGCUCCUGGACCCCACCUGACGCUGAGACGCGAAAGCCGGGGGAGCGAACGGG